GAUGAACGCUGGCGGCGUGCCUAAUACAUGCAAGUCGAGCGAACAGACGAGGAGCUUGCUCCUCUGACGUUAGCGGCGGACGGGUGAGUAACACGUGGAUAACCUACCUAUAAGACUGGGAUAACUUCGGGAAACCGGAUCUAAUACCGGAUAAUAUAUUGAACCGCAUGGUUCAAUAGUGAAAGACGGUUUUGCUGUCACUUAUAGAUGGAUCCGCGCCGCAUUAGCUAGUUGGUAAGGUAACGGCUUACCAAGGCAACGAUGCGUAGCCGACCUGAGAGGGUGAUCGGCCACACUGGAACUGAGACACGGUCCAGACUCCUACGGGAGGCAGCAGUAGGGAAUCUUCCGCAAUGGGCGAAAGCUUGACGGAGCAACGCCGCGUGAGUGAUGAAGGUCUUCGGAUCGUAAAACUCUGUUAUUAGGGAAGAACAAAUGUGUAAGUAACUAUGCACGUCGUGACGGUACCUAAUCAGAAAGCCACGGCUAACUACGUG
This 497-nucleotide ribosomal RNA is filed under the name uncultured bacterium. RNAcentral describes it as "partial 16S ribosomal RNA". It matches the Rfam family "Bacterial small subunit ribosomal RNA", at positions 28 to 507 of the family's 1533-position model. The record is from RNAcentral.